UCAGGACGAACGCUGGCGGCGUGCCUAAUACAUGCAAGUCGAGCGGACAGAAGGGAGCUUGCUCCCGGAUGUUAGCGGCGGACGGGUGAGUAACACGUGGGUAACCUGCCUGUAAGACUGGGAUAACUCCGGGAAACCGGAGCUAAUACCGGAUAGUUCCUUGAACCGCAUGGUUCAAGGAUGAAAGACGGUUUCGGCUGUCACUUACAGAUGGACCCGCGGCGCAUUAGCUAGUUGGUGGGGUAAUGGCUCACCAAGGCGACGAUGCGUAGCCGACCUGAGAGGGUGAUCGGCCACACUGGGACUGAGACACGGCCCAGACUCCUACGGGAGGCAGCAGUAGGGAAUCUUCCGCAAUGGACGAAAGUCUGACGGAGCAACGCCGCGUGAGUGAUGAAGGUUUUCGGAUCGUAAAGCUCUGUUGUUAGGGAAGAACAAGUGCGAGAGUAACUGCUCGCACCUUGACGGUACCUAACCAGAAAGCCACGGCUAACUACGUGCCAGCAGCCGCGGUAAUACGUAGGUGGCAAGCGUUGUCCGGAAUUAUUGGGCGUAAAGGGCUCGCAGGCGGUUUCUUAAGUCUGAUGUGAAAGCCCCCGGCUCAACCGGGGAGGGUCAUUGGAAACUGGGAAACUUGAGUGCAGAAGAGGAGAGUGGAAUUCCACGUGUAGCGGUGAAAUGCGUAGAGAUGUGGAGGAACACCAGUGGCGAAGGCGACUCUCUGGUCUGUAACUGACGCUGAGGAGCGAAAGCGUGGGGAGCGAACAGGAUUAGAUACCCUGGUAGUCCACGCCGUAAACGAUGAGUGCUAAGUGUUAGGGGGUUUCCGCCCCUUAGUGCUGCAGCUAACGCAUUAAGCACUCCGCCUGGGGAGUACGGUCGCAAGACUGAAACUCAAAGGAAUUGACGGGGGCCCGCACAAGCGGUGGAGCAUGUGGUUUAAUUCGAAGCAACGCGAAGAACCUUACCAGGUCUUGACAUCCUCUGACAACCCUAGAGAUAGGGCUUUCCCUUCGGGGACAGAGUGACAGGUGGUGCAUGGUUGUCGUCAGCUCGUGUCGUGAGAUGUUGGGUUAAGUCCCGCAACGAGCGCAACCCUUGAUCUUAGUUGCCAGCAUUUAGUUGGGCACUCUAAGGUGACUGCCGGUGACAAACCGGAGGAAGGUGGGGAUGACGUCAAAUCAUCAUGCCCCUUAUGACCUGGGCUACACACGUGCUACAAUGGACAGAACAAAGGGCUGCGAGACCGCAAGGUUUAGCCAAUCCCAUAAAUCUGUUCUCAGUUCGGAUCGCAGUCUGCAACUCGACUGCGUGAAGCUGGAAUCGCUAGUAAUCGCGGAUCAGCAUGCCGCGGGUGAAUACGUUCCCGGGCCUUGUACACACCGCCCGUCACACCACGAGAGUUUGCAACACCCGAAGUCCGGUGAGGUAACCUUUAUGGAGCCAGCCGCCGAAGGUGGGGCAGAUGAUUGGGGGUGAAGC
This 1482-nucleotide ribosomal RNA is filed under the name uncultured Bacillus sp. RNAcentral's name for it is "bacterial SSU rRNA". It matches the Rfam family "Bacterial small subunit ribosomal RNA". The record is from RNAcentral. Lineage: Bacteria; Bacillati; Bacillota; Bacilli; Caryophanales; Bacillaceae.